RNAcentral lists this ribosomal RNA (566 nucleotides) under Photobacterium sp. 3-4double-prime-E1. RNAcentral describes it as "bacterial SSU rRNA". It matches the Rfam family "Bacterial small subunit ribosomal RNA", at positions 348 to 906 of the family's 1533-position model. The record is from RNAcentral. Lineage: Bacteria; Pseudomonadati; Pseudomonadota; Gammaproteobacteria; Vibrionales; Vibrionaceae.
GCAGCAGUGGGGAAUAUUGCACAAUGGGGGAAACCCUGAUGCAGCCAUGCCGCGUGUGUGAAGAAGGCCUUCGGGUUGUAAAGCACUUUCAGUAGGGAGGAAGGUAGUGUAGUUAACACCUGCAUUAUUUGACGUUACCUACAGAAGAAGCACCGGCUAACUCCGUGCCAGCAGCCGCGGUAAUACGGAGGGUGCGAGCGUUAAUCGGAAUUACUGGGCGUAAAGCGCAUGCAGGCGGCCUGUUAAGUCAGAUGUGAAAGCCCGGGGCUUAACCUCGGAAUUGCAUUUGAAACUGGCAGGCUAGAGUCUUGUAGAGGGGGGUAGAAUUUCAGGUGUAGCGGUGAAAUGCGUAGAGAUCUGAAGGAAUACCAGUGGCGAAGGCGGCCCCCUGGACAAAGACUGACGCUCAGAUGCGAAAGCGUGGGGAGCAAACAGGAUUAGAUACCCUGGUAGUCCACGCCGUAAACGAUGUCUACUUGGAGGUUGUGGCCUUGAGCCGUGGCUUUCGGAGCUAACGCGUUAAGUAGACCGCCUGGGGAGUACGGUCGCAAGAUUAAAACUCAAUG